RNAcentral lists this ribosomal RNA (768 nucleotides) under uncultured Enterobacteriaceae bacterium. Its description in RNAcentral is "bacterial SSU rRNA". It matches the Rfam family "Bacterial small subunit ribosomal RNA", at positions 733 to 1502 of the family's 1533-position model. The record is from RNAcentral. Lineage: Bacteria; Pseudomonadati; Pseudomonadota; Gammaproteobacteria; Enterobacterales; Enterobacteriaceae.
GACAGUACUGACGCUGAGAUGCGAAAGCGUGGGGAGCAAACAGGAUUAGAUACCCUGGUAGUCCACGCUGUAAACGAUGUCGAUUUGGAGUUUGUUGCCUAGAGUGAUGGGCUCCGAAGCUAACGCGAUAAAUCGACCGCUGGGGAGUACGGCCGCAAGGUUAAAACUCAAAUGAAUUGACGGGGGCCCGCACAAGCGGUGGAGCAUGUGGUUUAAUUCGAUGCAACGCGAAGAACCUUACCUGGUCUUGACAUCCAUAGAAUUCUGCAGAGAUGUGGGAGUGCCUUCGGGAACUAUGAGACAGGUGCUGCAUGGCUGUCGUCAGCUCGUGUUGUGAAAUGUUGGGUUAAGUCCCGCAACGAGCGCAACCCUUAUUCUUUGUUGCCAGCGAUUUGGUCGGGAACUCAAAGGAGACUGCCGUUGAUAAAGCGGAGGAAGGUGGGGACGACGUCAAGUCAUCAUGGCCCUUACGACCAGGGCUACACACGUGCUACAAUGGCGUAUACAAAGGGAAGCGAAGGUGCGAGCUGGAGCGGAUCUCAUAAAGUACGUCUAAGUUCGGAUUGGAGUCUGCAACUCGACUCCAUGAAGUCGGAAUCGCUAGUAAUCGUAGAUCAGAAUGCUACGGUGAAUACGUUCCCGGGCCUUGUACACACCGCCCGUCACACCAUGGGAGUGGGUUGCACCAGAAGUAGAUAGCUUAACCGCGAGGGGGGCGUUUACCACGGUGUGAUUCAUGACUGGGGUGAAGUCGUAACAAGGUAACCA